GAUGAACGCUAGCGGCAGGCCUAAUACAUGCAAGUCGAACGGGAUCCAGAUCAAAGCUUGCUUUGGUUUGGUGAGAGUGGCGCACGGGUGCGUAACGCGUGAGCAACCUACCCUUGUCAGGGGGAUAGCCCGGCGAAAGUCGGAUUAAUACUGCAUGACAUCAUUGAGAGGCAUCUUUCGAUGAUCAAAGAUUUAUCGGACAAGGAUGGGCUCGCGUGACAUUAGCUAGUUGGUAAGGUAACGGCUUACCAAGGCUACGAUGUCUAGGGGCUCUGAGAGGAGAAUCCCCCACACUGGUACUGAGACACGGACCAGACUCCUACGGGAGGCAGCAGUAAGGAAUAUUGGUCAAUGGACGGAAGUCUGAACCAGCCAUGCCGCGUGCAGGAAGACGGCCCUAUGGGUUGUAAACUGCUUUUAUACGGGAACAAACGUCGGUACGUGUACCGGUCUGAGUGUACCGUAAGAAUAAGGAUCGGCUAACUCCGUG
This 490-nucleotide ribosomal RNA is filed under the name uncultured bacterium. Its description in RNAcentral is "partial 16S ribosomal RNA". It matches the Rfam family "Bacterial small subunit ribosomal RNA", at positions 28 to 507 of the family's 1533-position model. The record is from RNAcentral.